GUUUCAGGGCGGGGUGCGAUUCCCCACCGGCGGUAAAGCCCGCGACCACCUGACAAGGUGCUGACCCGGUGUGAUUCCGGGGCCGACGGUAUAGUCCGGAUGGAAGAGA
RNAcentral lists this non-coding RNA (109 nucleotides) under Candidatus Faecalibacterium faecipullorum. RNAcentral describes it as "FMN riboswitch (RFN element)". It matches the Rfam family "FMN riboswitch aptamer (RFN element)". From Rfam's summary of the family: The RFN element is a highly conserved domain that is found frequently in the 5'-untranslated regions of prokaryotic mRNAs that encode for flavin mononucleotide (FMN) biosynthesis and transport proteins. The record is from RNAcentral. Lineage: Bacteria; Bacillati; Bacillota; Clostridia; Eubacteriales; Oscillospiraceae.